Long non-coding RNA from Sphaerodactylus townsendi, 274 nucleotides. RefSeq lists it as uncharacterized. The record is from RefSeq and is a predicted model, not a curated record. The transcript is spliced from 3 exons. Lineage: Eukaryota; Metazoa; Chordata; Lepidosauria; Squamata; Sphaerodactylidae.
AACCAGAAAACCUGUACAUCUUAUAUAUAAAGUUCUAUCCUCCGGACUCCGGUUUUGCAGUGCGUGCUAUGCUUCCUCAUCUUCGUCUUCCUCAUCGCUGAUCACGUACUUCUUCUGCUUCUUGCUGGCCUUGUCGUCCUCUUCCGCUUUCCUUUUGCCCGAGGGCUCCCCCUCCUCGUGGCUGCUAAGGUUUCUUUGCCUUCAGCAACCUCUGGGCUUUAUCUUCAUCUGACCCUUCAUGCUGUCCGAAGAAUAAAUCCGAGCACGCUCCUCU